This 168-nucleotide microRNA precursor is filed under the name Pelobates cultripes (western spadefoot toad). The record is from RNAcentral. Lineage: Eukaryota; Metazoa; Chordata; Amphibia; Anura; Pelobatidae.
GCAGACACAUUCCAGCCAAUCAGCAGCAGACCCUCCCUCCCAGACCCUCCCACGUCCUGGACAGCAUCCAUUUUACAUUUAUUGUGAAGCUGCAUUCUUAGUGAGCUGUCCAGGAGGUGGGAGGGUCUGGGAGGGAGGGUCUGCUGCUGAUUGGCUGGAAUGUGUCUG